RNAcentral lists this long non-coding RNA (251 nucleotides) under Prunus persica (peach). RNAcentral describes it as "long non-coding RNA (PPER_LNC000288)". Lineage: Eukaryota; Viridiplantae; Streptophyta; Magnoliopsida; Rosales; Rosaceae. The record is from RNAcentral.
GGAAAGCACAUGUGCUGAGCCCACAAAAAAAUUUGGCCUAGGCUAAAGUUUGCUACAUUUGGGCUAGUUGGAAGGCUAAAGGGCCAAAUGUGGCCCUCCAAUUUGGCAAAAAAAAAAAAUUUAACUCAUGGCUGGAGAUGGGUUUUGCAUUAUUUUAGGGCUAUAUUUGGCCUAUGACCCAUAACUGGAGAUGGCCUUAGCCCUCCAACCGGGCCACAUUUAGCCCAGCUUUGGCCUAGGCCAAAUUUUUU